CCGGGGAUGAUUUACAUUUGAGUGAGUGGCGAACUGGUGAGUAACACGUGGGAAACCUGCCCAGAAGCGGGGGAUAACACCUGGAAACAGAUGCUAAUACCGCAUAACAACUUGGACCGCAUGGUCCGAGCUUGAAAGAUGGCUUCGGCUAUCACUUUUGGAUGGUCCCGCGGCGUAUUAGCUAGAUGGUGGGGUAACGGCUCACCAUGGCAAUGAUACGUAGCCGACCUGAGAGGGUAAUCGGCCACAUUGGGACUGAAACACGGCCCAAACUCCUACGGGAGGCACCAGUAGGGAAUCUUCCACAAUGAACAAAAGUCUGAUGGAGCAACGCCGCGUGAGUGAAAAAGGGUUUCGGCUCGUAAAACUCUGUUGUUAAAAAAAAACAUAUCUGAGAGUAACUGUUCAGGUAUUGACGGUAUUUAACCAAAAAGCCACGGCUAACUACGUGCCACCAGCCGCGGUAAUACGUAGGUGGCAAGCGUUGUCCGGAUUUAUUGGGCGUAAAGCGAGCGCAGGCGGUUUUUUAAGUCUGAUGU
This 539-nucleotide ribosomal RNA is filed under the name Lactobacillaceae bacterium. RNAcentral's name for it is "bacterial SSU rRNA". It matches the Rfam family "Bacterial small subunit ribosomal RNA", at positions 69 to 595 of the family's 1533-position model. Lineage: Bacteria; Bacillati; Bacillota; Bacilli; Lactobacillales; Lactobacillaceae. The record is from RNAcentral.